RNAcentral lists this unclassified non-coding RNA (199 nucleotides) under uncultured fungus. RNAcentral describes it as "sequence contains ITS1". The record is from RNAcentral. Lineage: Eukaryota; Fungi.
UUAACUAUUGUAUAGUACUCAGACGACACUAAUAUUCAGGGUUUAGGGUCCUCUGGCGGGCGCGUACUAGCCGGGGCCAGUAGUCACGCGUGAGCCUGACGGCCCGCCAAAGCAACAAAGUGAGAAUAACAUAGGGUGGGAGAUCUACCCAUAGGGCAUGAACUCUGUAAUGAUCCCUCCGCAGGUUCACCUACGGAGA